CAGUGUGACUCGUCACACUAUCAUUAACUGAAUCCAUAGGUUAAUGAGGCGAACCGGGGGAACUGAAACAUCUAAGUACCCCGAGGAAAAGAAAUCAACCGAGAUUCCCCCAGUAGCGGCGAGCGAACGGGGAGGAGCCCAGAGCCUGAAUCAGCAUGUGUGUUAGUGGAAGCGUCUGGAAAGGCGCGCGAUACAGGGUGACAGCCCCGUACACAAAAGCGCAUGUGCUGUGAGCUCGAUGAGUAGGGCGGGACACGUGGUAUCCUGUCUGAAUAUGGGGGGACCAUCCUCCAAGGCUAAAUACUCCUGACUGACCGAUAGUGAACCAGUACCGUGAGGGAAAGGCGAAAAGAACCCCGGCGAGGGGAGUGAAAAAGAACCUGAAACCGUGUACGUACAAGCAGUGGGAGCACAGGUUUACCUGUGUGACUGCGUACCUUUUGUAUAAUGGGUCAGCGACUUAUAUUCUGUAGCAAGGUUAACCGUAUAGGGGAGCCGUAGGGAAACCGAGUCUUAACCGGGCGUUAAGUU
Molecule: ribosomal RNA, 531 nt
Filed under: Salmonella enterica subsp. enterica serovar Hartford
Lineage: Bacteria; Pseudomonadati; Pseudomonadota; Gammaproteobacteria; Enterobacterales; Enterobacteriaceae
Description: partial 23S ribosomal RNA
Rfam family: Bacterial large subunit ribosomal RNA
Source: RNAcentral